Molecule: ribosomal RNA, 330 nt
Filed under: uncultured bacterium
Lineage: Bacteria
Description: bacterial SSU rRNA
Rfam family: Bacterial small subunit ribosomal RNA
Source: RNAcentral
AACUCAGGGAAACUUGAGCUAAUACUGAAUAAGCCCUUCGGGGGAAAGAUUUAUCGCCAUUGGAGCGGCCCGCGUCUGAUUAGCUUGUUGGUGAGGUAAAAGCUCACCAAGGCGACGAUCAGUAGCUGGUCUGAGAGGAUGAUCAGCCACACUGGGACUGAGACACGGCCCAGACUCCUACGGGAGGCAGCAGUUAGGAAUCUUGCGCAAUGGGCGAAAGCCUGACGCAGCCAUGCCGCGUGAAUGAUGAAGGUCUUAGGAUUGUAAAAUUCUUUCAGCGGGGAAGAUAAUGACGGUACCCGCAGAAGAAGCUCCGGCUAACUUCGUGCC